CCUACGGGGGGCAGCAGUGAGGAAUAUUGGUCAAUGACGAGAGUCUGAACCAGCCAAGUAGCGUGAAGGAUGACUGCCCCAUGGGUUGUAAACUUCUUUUAUAUGGGAAUAAAAUGUUUCACGUGUGGGAUUUUGUAUGUACCAUAUGAAUAAGGAUCGGCUAACUCCGUGCCAGCAGCCGCGGUAAUUCGGAGGAUCCGAGCGUUAUCCGGAUUUAUUGGGGUUAAAGGGAGCGUAGGUGGAUUGUUAAGUCAGUUGUGAAAGUUUGCGGCUCAACCGUAAAAUUGCAGUUGAAACUGGCAGUCUUGAGUACAGUAGAGGUGGGCGGAAUUCGUGGUGUAGCGGUGAAAUGCUUAGAUAUCACGAAGAACUCCGAUUGCGAAGGCAGCUCACUGGACUGCAACUGACACUGAGGCUCGAAAGUGUGGGUAUCAAACAGGAUUAGAUACCCUUGUAGUC
This 459-nucleotide ribosomal RNA is filed under the name uncultured bacterium. RNAcentral's name for it is "partial 16S ribosomal RNA". It matches the Rfam family "Bacterial small subunit ribosomal RNA", at positions 338 to 795 of the family's 1533-position model. The record is from RNAcentral.